This 55-nucleotide transfer RNA is filed under the name Coulteria velutina. RNAcentral's name for it is "partial tRNA-Phe". The record is from RNAcentral. Lineage: Eukaryota; Viridiplantae; Streptophyta; Magnoliopsida; Fabales; Fabaceae.
UCGGGAUAGCUCAGCCGGUAGAGCAGAGGACUAAAAAUCCUCGUGUCACCAGUUU